This 72-nucleotide transfer RNA is filed under the name Streptococcus pneumoniae. RNAcentral's name for it is "tRNA-Lys". It matches the Rfam family "tRNA". Rfam says of the family: Transfer RNA (tRNA) molecules are approximately 80 nucleotides in length. Their secondary structure includes four short double-helical elements and three loops (D, anti-codon, and T loops). Further hydrogen bonds mediate the characteristic L-shaped molecular structure. tRNAs have two regions of fundamental functional importance: the anti-codon, which is responsible for specific mRNA codon recognition, and the 3' end, to which the tRNAs corresponding amino acid is attached (by aminoacyl-tRNA synthetases). tRNAs cope with the degeneracy of the genetic code in two manners: having more than one tRNA (with a specific anti-codon) for a particular amino acid; and 'wobble' base-pairing, i.e. permitting non-standard base-pairing at the 3rd anti-codon position. The record is from RNAcentral. Lineage: Bacteria; Bacillati; Bacillota; Bacilli; Lactobacillales; Streptococcaceae.
GGAGAGUUAGCUCAGUUGGUAGAGCGGUAGAUUUUUAAUCUAUGGUUGCGGGUUCGAGCCCUGCACUCUCUU